RNAcentral lists this ribosomal RNA (181 nucleotides) under Dociostaurus maroccanus. Its description in RNAcentral is "partial 18S ribosomal RNA". It matches the Rfam family "Eukaryotic small subunit ribosomal RNA", at positions 1656 to 1831 of the family's 1831-position model. Lineage: Eukaryota; Metazoa; Arthropoda; Insecta; Orthoptera; Acrididae. The record is from RNAcentral.
GCUUUUGUACACACCGCCCGUCGCUACUACCGAUUGAAUGAAUUAGUGAGGUCUUCGGACUGGUACGCGGCAUCGACUCUGUCGUUGCCGAUGCUACCGGAAAGAUGACCAAACUUGAUCAUUUAGAGGAAGUAAAAGUCGUAACAAAGUUUCCGUAGGUGAACCUGCGGAAGGAUCAUUA